Molecule: small nuclear RNA, 130 nt
Filed under: Sciurus vulgaris (Eurasian red squirrel)
Lineage: Eukaryota; Metazoa; Chordata; Mammalia; Rodentia; Sciuridae
Description: U4 spliceosomal RNA (ENSSVLG00005014731.1)
Rfam family: U4 spliceosomal RNA
About the family: U4 small nuclear RNA (U4 snRNA) is a component of the major U2-dependent spliceosome. The structure of U4 snRNA from yeast and human has been reported.
Source: RNAcentral
AGCUUUGCGCAGUGGCAGUAUCGUAGCCAAUGAGGUUUAUCCGAGGCGCGAUUAUUGCUAAUUGAAAACUUUUCCCAAUGCAUGUGAUUUAGUAAAAGAUAUGAGGGAAGUUCACGAAAGUCAACAUGAU